UUUUGACUUAUGACCAUCACUCUAGACGUUUAUGUUUUGGUGUUGGCCCUUGAUGCUCAUUUGAACGCAACGGACGUGAUUGCAACCCCUUGUUGAGAUUUAUCCGAUCUCUACGUUCACUGAACCACACUCUUUAGCGAGAGCAGUGGGGAUGUGGAUAAACUCGGGGGACUGCUGACUAUAAACUUUUCUCAAACCAGAGGAAGGUUGCGGCAAUAACAGGUCUGUGAUGCCCUCAGAUGUUCCGGGCUGCACACGUGCUACAUUUAGUAGCGCAGUGUGCACAUUAAUAGAGUGAUAGGUUCCGUGGUUUGUACAUUUUAAGGGCUCGUCCUAGUAACCAAAGCUCCACGAGACAUAUCAACCUACCCCUUACAGGGCGGGUAACCUCUUCGAAGUGCUGGCAUGAUUUCCCUAGUUUUGGCAUUUGAAUCCUUGUCGCAGCAGCCCUGAGACGUAGUGAACGCUGCAAAGUGAUUCCAGUCUUAGGUUUGCGACACAUGCAAUUCCUGGUUGACUCAUCGUGGGGACUGAUUCUUGUAAUUAUUUUUCACGGUUCAACCAGGAAUGCCUUGUACCGGCGGCUCAUUAAACCACCCGAAAUACGUCC
Molecule: ribosomal RNA, 610 nt
Filed under: Globigerinoides elongatus
Lineage: Eukaryota; Foraminifera; Rotaliida; Globigerinidae
Description: partial small subunit ribosomal RNA
Rfam family: Eukaryotic small subunit ribosomal RNA
Source: RNAcentral